Molecule: ribosomal RNA, 1056 nt
Filed under: uncultured Winogradskyella sp.
Lineage: Bacteria; Pseudomonadati; Bacteroidota; Flavobacteriia; Flavobacteriales; Flavobacteriaceae
Description: bacterial SSU rRNA
Rfam family: Bacterial small subunit ribosomal RNA
Source: RNAcentral
AGUUGAUCCUGGCUCAGAACGAACGCUGGCGGCAGGCCUAACACAUGCAAGUCGAACGGUAACAGAGAAGAGCUUGCUCUUUUGCUGACGAGUGGCGCACGGGUGCGUAACGCGUAUACAAUCUACCUUUUACAGGGGUAUAGCCUUUAGAAAUGAAGAUUAACACCCCAUAGUAUCUAAUUAUCUCAUGGUAUUUAGAUUAAAACUUCGGUGGUAAAAGAUGAGUAUGCGUUCUAUUAGCUAGAUGGUAAGGUAACGGCUUACCAUGGCGACGAUAGAUAGGGGCCCUGAGAGGGGGAUCCCCCACACUGGUACUGAGACACGGACCAGACUCCUACGGGAGGCAGCAGUGAGGAAUAUUGGACAAUGGGCGAGAGCCUGAUCCAGCCAUGCCGCGUGCAGGAUGACUGCCCUAUGGGUUGUAAACUGCUUUUAUAUAGGAAGAAACCUUUCCACGUGUGGAAAGCUGACGGUACUAUAAGAAUAAGGAUCGGCUAACUCCGUGCCAGCAGCCGCGGUAAUACGGAGGAUCCAAGCGUUAUCCGGAAUCAUUGGGUUUAAAGGGUCCGUAGGUGGAUAAUUAAGUCAGAGGUGAAAUCCUGCAGCUCAACUGUAGAAUUGCCUUUGAUACUGGUUAUCUUGAAUUAUUGUGAAGUGGUUAGAAUAUGUAGUGUAGCGGUGAAAUGCAUAGAUAUUACAUAGAAUACCAAUUGCGAAGGCAGAUCACUAACAAUAUAUUGACACUGAUGGACGAAAGCGUGGGGAGCGAACAGGAUUAGAUACCCUGGUAGUCCACGCCGUAAACGAUGGUCACUAGCUGUUCGAACUUCGGUUUGAGUGGCUAAGAGAAAUUGAUAAGUGACCCACCUGGGGAGUACGUUCGCAAGAAUGAAACUCAAAGGAAUUGACGGGGGCCCGCACAAGCGGUGGAGCAUGUGGUUUAAUUCGAUGAUACGCGAGGAACCUUACCAGGGCUUAAAUGUAAGUUGCAUUAGUUAGAGAUAGCUAUUUCUUCGGACCACUUACAAGGUGCUGCAUGGCUGUCGUCAGCUCGUG